RNAcentral lists this long non-coding RNA (1751 nucleotides) under Ictidomys tridecemlineatus (thirteen-lined ground squirrel). RNAcentral's name for it is "lncRNA (ENSSTOG00000030944.1)". Lineage: Eukaryota; Metazoa; Chordata; Mammalia; Rodentia; Sciuridae. The record is from RNAcentral.
CUUCAUUUUUUCCUUCCACCAUAAUUAAUCUGUAUCUUCUUAUUUCUUCCAGAAUGGAUUUUUGUCUGCAUUGCCUUAUUUUGGUUGUUGGUUAUGUAUGAUUCUGUCUGGUCAAGCUGCUGACAAUUUAAGGGCAAAGUGGAAUGUUUCAACUAUAUGUGUUCGCAGAAUUUUUACCCUUAUUGGUAUGCUGGUAUCCUCCUGGGCAUCACGAAUACAUUUGCCACUAUUCCAGGAAUGGUGGGGCCUGUCAUUGCUAAAAGCCUGACCCCUGAUAACACUGUUAGAGAAUGGCAAAUUGUUUUUUGUAUCGCUGCUGCUAUUAAUGUAUUUGGUGCCAUUUUCUUUGUACUAUUGGCCAAAGGCGAAGUGCAGAAGUGGGCUGUCAGUGAUUACCAUGGACACAAAAACUGAAGAAAACAAUAAAUAAUCCUCUUUCUAUUAAUGUACUUUUAUUUAUCAUGUAACCUGAAAAGUGCCUUUGAUGUUUUAAUGUGUAAGCAUUCUAUAUAUUAAAAAAUGUACUUGUAUUAAAUUUUAAGGCUUGUAAUCAUGAAGUGUCACUAGUUGCCAGAUUAGGAAAAUUUGCUCUUUUUAAUAAUUAAUAAUAUAUAUGCAGGACUUUAAACUUUAGGUUCAGAUACCUGGCUGCAAGUCAGGUGACAUGAAAUAGGAGAACUCUAUUUAUUGUUAAGGGCCACAUUUAAGGGAAUGAAAUGAAAUGACCCUCUUAUACUGCUUAUCAAACUAGAUAAUAACCUCAGGUUUUGGUAAACACCUGUUUUUGUUUACUUUUCUCAUGAAAACUAUUUGUUAUUAGCUCUCUGUGACACUUAGUCUCAAACUUCAGCAUCUCCAUAGAGCUGCUAGCCACUGUAUAAUUACACCUGGCACCUAAAUUGAGCAAAGCAUGCCCAGACAGCUGCCAAGCAUUCUCUCCCUGGCAUCAGAGACAGAAUGCCCAGCAUUUAUCAGAGGCAGCACCCAAGUCAGAGCCAAUGCCAAAGUCUUUGUAUGGUGUUCUCCUUCUGGGGCUAUUAAUGUGUAUAUGAAGCCCUGAAUAGACAAGAGCAGUGAGAUCCACAAUUAUGGUCUUGAUGCAGCCUCAAACUUCCCCUUCCCAACACUUUGGACUAUCUACUCUCAUAGAAUCUGGAAAAAAAAAAAAAGAGACCCAAAAUAUACCACAAAAAAAAGAACACCCUACAAAAAAAAAACUCACAUGAAAAACACAAUAAAAACUCAAAAAAUAUGUUUUUAAAAACACAAAAAAAAAACAAAAAAAAAUUAAAAAUCUCUUUCUUCAGCCGGCUUCAUGUAAGCUUCUGGUUAGAAUUUAAAGUGACUUUUAGGGCUGGGAAUAUAGCUCAGUGGUAGAGUGCUUGCCUAGUACUCAUAAGACCCUGGGUUUAAUUUCCAGCACCAUAAAAAUAAAUAAGUGAAAGUGGCUUUUUAAGGACCACAGGGCCUGUGGCCUAUGGAAUCAUCUGUACUGUUUGUUCCUGAAAUCUUAUUUUUCCUGAUUCAUCUAUGGUGGUUAUUGAGCAUACUUUGAGGGCAUUUAUGUUUAAAAUUUGGUUUAUGUUUUGUUUAUGAUUACCUGUAAUGUUUUAACUGAAAAUGUUUAAUGUAAGAUGAUGUGAAUAUAUUUAUGUAAAUUAAUUUUUAAUGUGUAAAUAUAAAUUAAGUUGCUAUGGUGAUAUUUCUUUUAUAAAUCAUCAAAAUAAACCUUUUUGAUUUUUCAAUCUGAC